Molecule: unclassified non-coding RNA, 310 nt
Organism: Nomascus leucogenys (northern white-cheeked gibbon)
Lineage: Eukaryota; Metazoa; Chordata; Mammalia; Primates; Hylobatidae
Gene: 7SK
Rfam family: 7SK RNA
About the family: 7SK was discovered as an abundant small nuclear RNA in the mid-70s but a possible function has only recently been suggested. Two independent studies have found that 7SK RNA binds the CDK9/cyclin T complex (known as elongation factor P-TEFb).
Source: Ensembl
GGAUGCAAGGGCAAUCUGGCUGUGACAUCUGUCACCCCAUUGAUCGCCAGUGUUGAUUCCGCUGAUCUGGCUGGCUAGGCGGGUGUCCCCUUCCUCCUUCACUGUUCCAUGUGUGUCCCUCCUGAAGCUGCGUGCUCUGUCGAAGAGGAAGACCAUCCCCGAUAGAGGAGGACUGGUCUUCGGUCAAGGGUAUAUGAGUAGCUGCACUGCCCUGCUAGAAUCCCCAAACAAGCUCUCAAGGUCCAUGUCCCUGCAAAGGAAAUGAACUCAUCCUUUUUUAUUGCUGCAUAGUAUUCCAUGGUCUAUAUGU